UGAAACACGGACCAAGGAGUCUAGCGUAUACGCGAGUCAUUGGGUGGAAAACCCAUAGGCGUAAUGAAAGUGAAGGUCUCUUUCUGAGGCUGAUAUGCGAUCCGUUGCACUACGGUGUAGCGGAGCAGCAUAGCCCCAUCUCGACUGCUUGCAGUGGGGUGGAGGUAGAGCGUAUUCGCUGGUACCCGAAAGAUGGUGAACUAUGCCUGAGCAGGAUGAAGCCAGAGGAAACUCUGGUGGAGGUCCGAAGCGCUUCUGACGUGCAAAUCGAUCGUCUGACUUGGGUAUAGGGGCGAAAGACUAAUCGAACCAUCUAGUAGCUGGUUCCCUCCGAAGUUUCCCCCAGGAUAGCUGGAGCCUGAUAAAUUAGUUAUACUCGGUAAAGCGAACGAUUAGAGGACUUGGGGUCAAAAGACCUUAACCUAUUCUCAAACUCUCAAUGGGUAUGAAGUAUUAGUUGCUUGAUUGAACUAGUACGUUGAAUAUAGGCUCCAAGUGGGCCAUUUUUGGUAAGCA
Molecule: ribosomal RNA, 516 nt
Filed under: Eucephalobus striatus
Lineage: Eukaryota; Metazoa; Nematoda; Chromadorea; Rhabditida; Cephalobidae
Description: eukaryotic LSU rRNA
Rfam family: Eukaryotic large subunit ribosomal RNA
Source: RNAcentral